RNAcentral lists this ribosomal RNA (158 nucleotides) under Oidiodendron truncatum. RNAcentral's name for it is "5.8S ribosomal RNA". It matches the Rfam family "5.8S ribosomal RNA". From Rfam's summary of the family: 5.8S ribosomal RNA (5.8S rRNA) is a component of the large subunit of the eukaryotic ribosome. It is transcribed by RNA polymerase I as part of the 45S precursor that also contains 18S and 28S rRNA. The record is from RNAcentral. Lineage: Eukaryota; Fungi; Ascomycota; Leotiomycetes; Myxotrichaceae.
AAACUUUCAACAACGGAUCUCUUGGUUCUCGCAUCGAUGAAGAACGCAGCGAAUGCGAUGAAGUAAUGCGAAUUGCAGAAUUCAGUGAGUCAUCGAAUCUUUGAACGCACAUUGCGCCCUGUGGUAUUCCGCAGGGCAUGCCUGUUCGAGCGUCAUUU